AAGCAGGAGCAAUCCUGUGAGUAAAGUGGCGUACGGGUGAGUAACACGUGGAUCAUCUACCUUUUAGUGGGGAAUACCCCUGGGAAACCGGGGAUAAUACCGCAUAAGCUCGUAAGAGGAAAGCAGCAAUGCGCUGAAAGAGGAGUCCGCGGCUGAUUAGCUAGUUGGUGAGGUAAUGGCCCACCAAGGCGAAGAUCGGUAGCCGGCCUGAGAGGGCACACGGCCACACUGGCACUGAAACACGGGCCAGACUCCUACGGGAGGCAGCAGUGGGGAAUCUUGCACAAUGGGGGAAACCCUGAUGCAGCGACGCCGCGUGAGCGAUGAAGCCCUUCGGG
This 338-nucleotide ribosomal RNA is filed under the name uncultured bacterium. RNAcentral's name for it is "bacterial SSU rRNA". It matches the Rfam family "Bacterial small subunit ribosomal RNA", at positions 71 to 422 of the family's 1533-position model. The record is from RNAcentral.